Molecule: long non-coding RNA, 1969 nt
Filed under: Sus scrofa (pig)
Lineage: Eukaryota; Metazoa; Chordata; Mammalia; Artiodactyla; Suidae
Description: lncRNA (ENSSSCG00005005292.1)
Source: RNAcentral
CUCAUCACAAAUAAAGUGAAGCUUAAAAAUAAGAACAAAAAUUGGGAAUAAAAAUAUUUUGGAACAUGCUAAAAUAUACAGUUUCUGCUCUAUUAAGAAACAAGCAGACAAUCAAUACUCUCUGGAUAAUCCUUAACCCCAAAGGGGAGAGACAAGUGAAAAAGACAUUUUAUAAAUUAGGUGAAAAUAUCUCAUUGAAAUAAUAGCAGAGUUCCCGUCAUGAUGCCCGGGAAAUGAAUCCGACUAGGAACCAUGAGGUUGCAGGUUCGAUCCCUGCUCUCACUCUGUGGGUUAAGGAUCCAGCAUUGCCGUGAGCUGUGGUGUAGGUCGAAGACAUGGCUCUCGGAUCUGGCGUUGCUGGGGCUCUGGCUGCAGCUCCGGUUGGACCCUUAGCCUGGGAACCUCCAUAUGCCGUGGGUGCAGCAACUAAAAAGACAAAACACACACACACACACAAAAGCAACAAUAGCAACUUAUAUCUAAGAGAUUAAAACUUGAGAUUUAAAGUAGAAAAUGUUUGAAAAAUGUUGUGAUUCUGAGUAAGCCUUAUAAUAUUUCUAUAUCACUCUUGGCUGCAUUAACAUUAACUAAUUAACGCUCCUUCUACACCAACAAACCACUGAGAACUUAAAUGCGUGAUAAUGAGGAGGGGAUUCUUUCAUGUUGAUACUUUGCUCUGAAUACUCCAACUACAUGCAAAGUUACAGCUACAGCUUUUUCAGCUCUGUAAGUGCAAGUUCAACCACAUAAUCACAAAUAACAUAGACGGCCAAGGUAUCAGUCCACUACUAAUUUAGCCAUGUUUUCCUAACCAGAAUAUGCAUUUGUUUUUGGUGACAGUAGUAAUAAAAUUAUUUUUUAAUUUAUUCAUUUGUUUUUCAUUUGGUUAUUUAAUCAUAUUGGUGCUCUAGUUUGUUCCAUAAAGAGAUUGAGAAAGCCUAGAGUAAAAUUACAUGAGGUGCUUUUUCUAUGUUCCUCCCCUGUGAUAUCUGAUUACCCUUACAGCAAACCUGUAAAGAGGAUUUGACCAUCCCUGUUUCACAGGUUAGAGCUCAGGUGGUUGGUCCGAAGACACAGCUAGUACACAGAACGGGAUUAUGAACUUGGGGUCUAUCUGAUGCCAAAAAAAAAAACACCCUCCUGACUUUGCUAGUGGCUUCCUUGGUUGAAAGGAAUUCUCCUUGGUAUGUCACUGAGUCAUUCAUCCUCUUAAACUGUUUACUGUGACAGAGUGUGUAUCUUGACUGCAAAGAAAAAUACCUUGUAUGUCUUUUUAACCAAUUCAAGUGUGUCAGACUAGAGCCCUGCAGCUCUAGGAUGAUCCCAGUCAUACCAAACUAUAGGGUCGAUACACUCAAACUUCCCUUUCCCUUCCCUUCACUGGUUGGAAAUCUAAGUUUCAGGAAGGUUUCUGAUUUAAAGGAAUACUAUGUUUACUGCAAAGUUCAUGGAACUAUACUCAAUAUUUUGUAAUAAACCCAGCGUGGAAAAGAAUCUGAAAAAGAAUAUAUAUGUACACGGAGUACCUGUUGUGGCGCAGCAGAAACGAACCCAACUAGUAUCCAUGAGGACAUGGGUAGGCUCCCUGGCCUUGCGCAGUGGUUGGGGAUCCAGAGUUGCCAUGAGUUGUGGUGUAGAUCGCAGACGUGGCUCAGGUCCCAAGUUGCUGUGGCUGGGGUGUAGGCUGGUGGCUGUGGCUCUGAUUCGACUCCUAGCCUGCGAACUUCCAUAUGUCAUGGGUGCGGCCAUAAAAGAAAAGAAAAAAUAUAGGAGUUCCCGUCAUGGCACAGUGGUUAACAAAUCCAACCAGGAACCAUGAGGUUUCGGGUUCGAUCCCUGGCCUCGAUCAGUGGGUUAAGGAUCUGGCGUUGCUACGAGCUGUGGUGUAGGUCACAGACAUGGCUCGGAUCCCGAGUUGCUGUGGCUGUGGUAUAGGCCGGCGGCUACAGCUCCGAUUAGACCCCUAGCC